GGAGGCAGGGAGUGAAACUGCCUGAGGAACAGAGAGGAGAGGGGAGGAGAGGAGAGGAGAGGAGAAGAGAGCAGAGGAGAGAUCAGAUCUGUAGCUAGGUCACAUCUGGACAGGACCCAAGUCCAAGGUAAAUCGAGAACAAGUGAUGGAACUAAAGAAUGAAGGAGAAAUGGGUGGACAGGGCACAAAUUGGGGAAUGACAGCCUAUUCAGUGAGGAUAGGAAAUGCACAUAAAGGACAGAUGAAGAUGAUUUCUCUGUGUGUGAUUAGAAGGAUAGCAAUUACAAAGAUAAGAGUGAAAGGAGAGGGAGGAAAGGGGAAAAGGGAAUAAGUAAGAAGACAAAAUAAGCAAUGAGUGUCUAAGUACCGAUCUGAAUGCUUAGAAAAUCACCAGGCUGUUAGGCUGAGCCAAAAGAAGAGCCACAGCCGUACCCAAGAGGGGACCAUCGGAAAGACAGAAGCAGGCAAUUUAAGUAGCUAGCUACUGGGGUAAAAUGAAAAAAAAGAAAAAAUAGAAGAUGGAAAAGGUGAGAAGCAAAAGAGGGAAAACCCAAAGGAGACACUGGCCCAGAAACCUUUUUAACUUUCUGUAAGAAUCUUCAAGGCCCCAAACUAGGCCAAGAUUCUGACUGACAUUUCUGAGCUCACCAGCUGCCGUUUCCUUGAGAGAAUUCUGACAGGAAGGCAUAGAAAUGCGAACCAACACUGCCAGCUCUGGAAAAUAAAUAAAUAAGUAAAUAACUAUCCACAUCCUAAACACCUCAGUGGGGGCCGAAGCCUGCUGGGGAAGAAAGCCCAGCGAGGAGGAGGGACCCGCCUGCAACUUUUCCCCAGGUAUGUGCUGAGCUUUCCCCGCGUGCUGCUUUCUCCUCCAAUUGUCCUCUGGCCGUUCCUGCCUUGCCCAUCUGUCUUUCUUUCUUUGUGAAUUUUUGGGAAGCCCUGCAGGCGAUCUGCUUCUGCAGUAAGGGGACAGUCUGAGCAUCUCAUCACAUAUAUCCUUUCAUAAAACUCCUAAAAAUGAGACUGGCAUCCCAGACAUUCGGAACCUGUAAUGAUUCUUGUCAGAAAUGAUACUGAUUAAUACCUUUUUUUAACAAAUCUACUAAAAUUGUACGACGAAUAUUUUUGAUAAUAUUUUUGCUUUCUCAAGUAUCUUUGAAUCACCCCUUACAUAAAAACAAUUGUCAUGUUAAUGAAACCCUUUAAAGUAGAUCAAAUAUAAGGAUUUCCAUGUAGUAAGUAGAUUCCAUUGCCAGAUUAAUACUAAUUAAUAUAUCAAUUACACAUUAAUUAAUAAUAUAAUACAUAUAAUUAUUAAUAAGAUCAAUAUUAUGUUGAUUGUAUAUUAUUAAUAGAUAAUGUUAAUAAUAGUAAUAGAGAUUAUUUAUUAAACUUCAAAUAUUAUGCUCAUGGCACACUACAUAAAUCUAAUUCCUCCCGUUGAGGAAGCACUGUUAGUCUCACUUUACAGAUGAGGAAGCUGAGGCUGAAAGAGGUUAAAUAGCUUGCUCAAGUCACAGAUGUCCAAGCCAUGCUGUUUCUCCCUGCACCCCUCAUAGCCAAUAACCUUGAAGAUCACAUUUGUCUUACUCAGACUUCUCUCGGUCUCAACCUGUCCUUGAUUUUACCCAAAUCCAAUAGGCUUUCUAAGGACCAUUAAUGAGAAAUAAGCAUCCUUCUAUCUCUUUAAUGUGUUGAGUCAUUUAUGUUCAAAUACUGUCCUGCUCAGCAAAAGAAACUGAAAAAGAACUGUGAUUGCUGUUUAUGCUUUUGAGGCUACUUUUUUACUGUUACUUAAGUCUGGAACGCUUUUAAAUGGUACUUGCUUCUCAGGACAAGGGAAAGGACAUGUUAGUAAUUUAAGGGUUUUGAGCAGUUGUCUGAUCAUGAGGCAGGGCUGGGGUGUGGAGUAAAUCUUGUUUUCAAUAACCUGUUGAGUGACAUUUUAUAUUGCCAUUGGCCCAUUCUCCUAAGAAACUCAAGAUAUUCACAUGUGUUAUCUCAUUAAUCUUCAACCCAUUCUUUGGUGGGCAGCUGGGGUUACACAACUGCUAUUUACAGAUAAGUAGCAUGGGAUUUGGUAUAGGAAUGAAGACAGAAAGCUGGUAAUUUGGCUAAUAUCACCCAGCACACAAUUGGCCAAGUGACACACCACAUCUCCUAAUUCUUUCCAUUAACAGUGCCUACUAAAGUCAAAAGAUUUGGGUAGAUAGGAAACUAGAUAAAUAAUCUGGAAAAAAAACCCACAUCCAAUUGUCAUAUAGAUGCCCUUGCCCUAUGCAAAGCACAGAGAAACGUGUCUUUAUGUUCUCCAUCCCAGAUUUUUUUACCUACUAUUUUUGUCUUGUCUGAAAUAUGUUGGUUUUGCCGUAGUUUGUUUUUCCAGUCUACCUUUCUCUCCAUUUUCUAACCUGUUCCAUGACUUUUCUUUCUUGUGUCUUAAGCUAGAUGUCCAGGAAAAUGGGAAGAAGGUUUAAACAAGGCUUUCAUCAUAGAUAUUCCCAUUUCAAACUCUCUCUCUCGACUUUCAAAAUUCUCUAUUCAUUCUAAAGUGAUAAGAAUUUAGUUACCUGGACUCAUUAAUUGUCAAGUAAUUGGUUAUUAACAAUUUGUUUUUCUCCUGCAGAUUUUGCAGUGAACUUUUAAGUAAUCUUUUCACCCUACAAGGUUGGGCUUGGCAAAGACAAAACAAUUCACACCCAAAUGUUGGGGACAGUCUAAUGGGAUAGUUUACACUGUCUUGGCUAUCUCAAAUCUUUUCCCUGGAAAUCUUUUUCUUUUGUAUUCCUACAUAAAUGUAUGAAGCUCAGCCUGGCUCAUGAAUAGCAAGUCUCUUAAAGUUGGCUCUUUCUAGUUCUUUGAACAUAAAACUUGAUGGUUCCUCUCAUCGGUGCAAACCCUCACUCCUCACAACUCAAAUGCCAAACACUUUGGAGGAUCUCCAUCUGACAGAUGUAACUAGUUAAAAUGGACAUUUAUUCAGCUCUUAAGUUCCCUGGUUCUAUGAAAGAAAUGAGACAUUUUUAUUUUCUUAGAGGCACAGACACACCUCCUUCCUCCUUUGACCAAGCUGCCUCCCUGCCAUCAGCCCCUGAUAGUGUGUUUUUGGUUGCCCACUGCCCCCAAACUUAGAGAAGGAAGGGUAGCCCCAAACUCUCACUUCUAUGAAGUUCAUACUUGACUAUGGGAGAAAACAGUGUUUUCAGAGCAGAAGCUUACAUAGCCAUUGGAUGGAAUUGGAUGAGCCAUUGGAUGAUUCCCAAGGUCAGCCCGAAAGAUUUUGACUGGGAUGCUAGAGACAUUUUCCUAUUUUCCUAAGAAACAGUAUGGUUUCUAAGCCACCUCCAUCAACAACA
This 3356-nucleotide long non-coding RNA is filed under the name Homo sapiens (human). RNAcentral describes it as "HSALNT0107170". The record is from RNAcentral. Lineage: Eukaryota; Metazoa; Chordata; Mammalia; Primates; Hominidae.